ACAAAAUGACCUCUACACCACUGGUGUGAAUGUCUCUGGCUGAACAAUCAGAAGCUUCAUGAGUGUGGCCUGAGGGGCUGACAUCCUCUAAUAGGCCUUGUGCUCACUGCCUGGUAUUGUGGAGCCUGACUGGCAUUUGCCAUAGAAGACCAUAAUUGGCAGGUCCACCAGUGGUGCCCUGUGCUUUCCACAGAUUAGAGCAGGAUGAUCCUAAGCACAUGUUACAGACAUGAAAGGGUCUGGAGAAGCUGUGGAGCAUCAUCGGUGUGGUGGUGGGUCAGUGAUGGUCUAGGGAGUCGUGUCCAUGGAUGGGAAGUAUAGACCUAUACAGGCUAGAAGGUGACACCCUGACUGCCAUUAGGUAUGAAUGAUGAAAUCCUUGGACACUGUAAGACCCGACGUUGGUGCAGGGGUCCUGGGUUCCUCCUCGUACCUGGUCUCAUGUGAAAAUAGCAUGCAGACAGUUCUUAGCAAUACAGUAACUAACUGCUUCCUUUUUUUCUGCUGCUCCUUCUCAGAUACAAAUAUAGCUGAUUGUGAAGUUCAGCUCUCUUUCUCUGUCUGAUGGUCAUGAUGUUUAGACUGAACCAAGGAGCACUUCUCAUUCCGCUAUUAGUGAUGUGGCAUGUCUUUGCAGGAAUCGCUAAAGACGACCACAGAGCUUUGCUGGUGUCCAGAGGAGACUCAGUGACGCUGAUCUGCAACACAAGACAGAAUAAUACAACCCUAAUCACCUGGACCAACGGCAGAUCUGUUUUUCAAUAUUCCAUUGUGCUGAAUAGCACCCAUUCAAAUUUCUCUUUCCAUAAACUGAAAAUAAAUCGUGAGUUACCUGCAAAGCUAAUUAUUUUUAGUGCUCAGCCUGAAGAUGGAGGACUUUAUACAUGCUACAUAACAGACAGAAGUGGUGUAAACAGCAUUACAUGGAAUUUAACUGUGUCUGAGGACCCCAGAGAUUCCAUUUCAUCAAAGUAUUUUCUAUACAUACUCCCAUCUGCAAUUGGAAUCCUUCUAUGUGGCAUCACACUAGCUGUCUUUAUCUGUGGAAAAAUUGUGAUGAAGACACUGAAUCAGGAUCCAGUCCAGGAUCAGUUUCCUCCCCAGUCAGGAGAAGAGGCAGUUCUUCCUCAACCACAGGGUGGCACUAUUUGUUGUAAAAAUAAAAAGCAGAGGCGUCAGUAUAUGGAGAGGGUGAAUACAAUCUAUGAUAAUGUCUAAAUGGAUUAACAAUCCACAAAAGGGAGCACCAUCAGAGGGAGGACAACAGUGCUACUAUAGCCAAUAGAACAAAUCCCUCUGCUUACAAGAAGCAGCCAAUUAGAAGAAGGUUUGUAUUAAAGAACACGAGAAGGGAACUAAACGUGUUGUUUCAGGGACAGGAUGAACUGCAGGCCUACCAAAUAAAUAGGGAUGGUAUGAAACUGUGAAUCAGAACAAGUCAAGUCCAAGUGUAACUUGAAUCCUUAGGAAUUUUCCCUAAAGUUUUCACUUUAUGACAAUAAUGUAUUCUCAGCUCAAGCUCAUUAAUGUUUUUUCCUCCAAGUUUUCAUUAUAAGCUUGUUACAGGGAGAUUGUUCAUUUUUUUUUUUAGCGUGUGUGUGUGUGUGUGUGUGUGAGAGAGAGAGAGAGAGGGAGAGCGAGGGAGGGACUGUUAUUCUGUCUGUGAACAAAAUAACUUGAAAGAAAAAACCUUGCAGAGUGGGGUCAUGUUAACGAUCCUUUAAAAUUUGGCUUAUGUCCACCAAGGCCUUCAAGGUCAACUUAAUGAUGAUUCUUACAAGUGUGGUGUGUAUUGUCAACAUGUAAAAAAAUUUGAAAAAUCUCUAUAAAGGUUUAAAAUAUCAUGCCAAAAUUUUAUUCAAGGUUGUGAUUGCCUGAAGGUAAAAGUAAUAAUAAGGCAAUUCGGAGCUGUUUAAAACUUUGUUUAUUGCUAUCAUUGUUUGUACUGACAACAUAUAAGGGAUAUAAGUGAAAUGGGGUCAAACUUUCAUAAAGGUACUGUCCCCUUAAAUGUAAAAACUGUUCUUCCUUGGUGGAGGUUUGUGCUCUCGGAACACUUCUUGUAAUAUUUAUAUAUUGCAUAAUUUUUAUUUUAUAUUGAAUUAUUGUUUAAAUAUUAUAUUCAUUAUGAUUUAAUUUGUCAUGUGCUUAAACUUCAUGCAUCGUUAAAUGAACUGCUUUUUUGUCCCCUGCAAGUAACCACUUCCUGUUCUUGGCAUCACCUUUACAAGCACAUGUAGACGUGAUGGUGAAGCUUCACUUUGUCUCUCUGUAAUCAUGUUUCAUCCAGAUCAAUCAGAUAUUCUCUUUAAUUCAUUCUUAGCUGUGUGCCAUGUCCUCACAGGUACCGCACAAGUUUUUGAUGCACAGUUUCUGAGUUUAGUAGCAGAAUUUGUUUUCAUUGAAAGCACAGUGUGCACACUGUGCUUUGCCUGUGAGGUAGGAGAAAGGUGAUUAGAGCUGGGUCUACAGCCACACACACUAUGAUUCAAGAUCUUCCUCUGUCUUUAGUGUACCUGACGCUGUAGUGGACUUGUGUCUGAGAAUAAUAACAAACACUGAUCUAUUAAUUAAAUGGACAUUCAUGGGAAUCGAUUACAAUACCUAGUAGAAGAAAAAUGAUAUGGUUAUAUUUGGCAUACCUGUCAUUCAUGAUGAGGCUAUAAUAACUAAAGUAUAGUGAUCGUUUUUUUCUCCAACACCUUUGAAAAGUGUGAGUUUCCUGUUUGUACUUUUUCUUUGCAGUUAAGCUUGUGAGACCCUGUGUGUGGGCAGAAAUAAAGGAAAUGAGAAGCACCUUCUGUACUGCUAGA
RNAcentral lists this long non-coding RNA (2813 nucleotides) under Oreochromis niloticus (Nile tilapia). RNAcentral's name for it is "lncRNA (ENSONIG00000036632.1)". Lineage: Eukaryota; Metazoa; Chordata; Actinopteri; Cichliformes; Cichlidae. The record is from RNAcentral.